Molecule: ribosomal RNA, 403 nt
Filed under: uncultured microorganism
Description: bacterial SSU rRNA
Rfam family: Archaeal small subunit ribosomal RNA
Source: RNAcentral
GCGCAGCAGGCGCGAAUACUUUACAAUGUGCGAAAGCACGAUAAGGGAACUCUGAGUGCCUCCUAAGGAGGCUGUUCAGGUGUCUAAAAGCACCUGAAGGAAGGGCUGGGUAAGACCGGUGCCAGCCGCCGCGGUAACACCGGCAGCCCAAGUGGUAGCCACGUUUAUUGGGUCUAAAGCGUCCGUAGCCGGCUGGGUAAGUUCCUUGGGAAAUUUGGCUGCUUAACAGUCAAGCUUUCAGGGAAUACUGCCCGGCUUGGGGACCGGGAGAGGUCAGAGGUACCCCAGGGGUAGGGUGAAAUCCAUUAAUCCUUGGGGGACCACCGGUAGCGAAGGCGUCUGACCAGACCGGGUCCGACGGUGAGGGACGAAGGCUAGGGGCGCGAACCGGAUUAGGAUACCC